RNAcentral lists this unclassified non-coding RNA (177 nucleotides) under Salipiger profundus. Its description in RNAcentral is "caulobacter sRNA CC2171". Lineage: Bacteria; Pseudomonadati; Pseudomonadota; Alphaproteobacteria; Rhodobacterales; Roseobacteraceae. The record is from RNAcentral.
CAACAGCUGAAAGGAGGUGAUCCAGUGUCUAGAGUCACAUUGGAGAGAGGUGUCGGAACAGUUCGGAGGAUUGCGCGCUAGAGCAGCCUCUGGCGCAAGGAAAUCCGAAUUGGUUUUGCCUAACCGGCACGCCUCCUUGACGUCUCGAAUGGGUCGCCCCACAGGCAGGGCGGCCCA